Molecule: long non-coding RNA, 1022 nt
Organism: Portunus trituberculatus (swimming crab)
Lineage: Eukaryota; Metazoa; Arthropoda; Malacostraca; Decapoda; Portunidae
Exons: 3
Source: RefSeq, a predicted model, not a curated record
CAAACACCACAACAAACAUCACCAGGCAGGCACCACUAACACCAAACGCUACCUACAGGACAAUAGAGGCGUAAGACAAUUGAGUGGUGGGUAGUGACUUCAAAAUGGCCGCUGCUUCACAAAGCCUCGACACAAUGAACAUAAACCACACGAUCCCUGACUCACUCCCCGCUCAUCUGUUCGUCAGUAUUUUCCCCGCUCGUGAUGCGCUAGUGAUCUCUGUUGUUGUGAUGCGUGGCGCCGCUCAGAUAGCCUCAACAUAUUAUGCAAGACAAGGUCUUGCAGGCCGGCCUGUCACCGCUCAAACACUCGUCCGUGACCUGCAAUAGAGGGUGUGAGCCUAGUUGGUGACUGGAGCAGUGCUUCAACUACCGUCUGCUGCCCACCGUCCCCUGGUGCUAAUGGUGACACAAGGACUGAGUGCACCCACUGGGGCUCCAGUGUCUCUAGUUCAUCACACCCAAGGGCCUGAAAGACACCACAUCCUCACCAUGCAUUCACAGGGGGGCAUAAUCCACACCACUUUCAACACUAACUCUAGCCAGGGUUUGCCUGCUGGGCACUGCUGGGGAAGAGUAAGGUUCAUGACAAUUAUAUUCAGAAAUCAGAAGGAUGCAACUUACUGAAAAUAUAUAUUCAUUUUACCUAAACCCCUUCAAUAUCAGGACGCAUUUUCAUAUUCAUUCUGGUUACUAUUUGGUGACAUUAUACAGCUUCAGAAACUUACGUGGGGGAUUAAAAUAGUGAAGACUGUGGCUAUUAAUCUUUGACCUCCAUAGACCCUUUCUGAUGUCAAUAAAUGGUCUAAUCACAAUAAAAACUCAAAGCAAAAAUACUUCCCAGUACUGAAGGCAUAAACAGAGCCCUAGUGAGAGUAUGACAAAACUUGGUUCCUUGAGGCCGCAGCAGCGGUAGCCUCACGACACAGCGGAACAUUCACACACAACACAGGGAUGACAAGCCACACAGAACAGGAAUUACAGCAUAAAGACAAGCAAAGCGUCUUAACAAACCUGUAACUU